GUACUAAAUACCACCAAAUUGUUCACUUUAAAAUAGUUACUUUUAUGUUACAUUAAUUUCAUCUCAAUAAGAAAAUGAUUAGCAUUUCUUGUGUUUUCUCUAUCUAUGUCUAUGGUCUUAUAAUCUUUGUCUCCAAGACAUGACCCUUUCCAUCAAGUCCCUCAAAACAUUAUCACAGUUUCAUUGUCUCCCCACUGUAGGAAGAUCUAUUAUCAAAAGAAGUUUCUGAUCUCUGGUCUCAUGAUAGAGUUAGUUACCAUUUGUCUUCCACCACCAUUAUUUCCAGAGAUUCCUUCUGCUUAACUGGUAUUUACAUUUACACUUGAAAGGAAAUGUGCUUGAAACCUGUUGUGAUGUCCCAGAAUGGAAAGUCUCCAAAAGCUCCCUGCAGGGCACUGCUGGAUUAAUGGAAAUGAAUCAGAACAGCUCCUGGCCUUGGGGCGCUCACAGAAUAAGGAAACAGAUGACCCCUGUGAGAACAGCUAUGCAGGGAAAGCUACACAUGGUAAGAAAC
RNAcentral lists this long non-coding RNA (514 nucleotides) under Homo sapiens (human). RNAcentral describes it as "HSALNT0354367". The record is from RNAcentral. Lineage: Eukaryota; Metazoa; Chordata; Mammalia; Primates; Hominidae.